GACGAACGCUGGCGGCGUGCUUAACACAUGCAAGUCGAACGAUGAACCCGGAGCUUGCUCCGGCGGAUUAGUGGCGAACGGGUGAGUAACACGUGAGUAACCUGCCCUUGACUCUGGGAUAACUGCUAGAAAUGGUAGCUAAUACCGGAUACGACCCUCGGUGGCAUCACCAGGGGGUGGAAAGCAUUUCGGUCAAGGAUGGACUCGCGGCCUAUCAGCCAGUUGGUGAGGUAACGGCUCACCAAGGCGACGACGGGUAGCCGGCCUGAGAGGGUGACCGGCCACACUGGGACUGAGACACGGCCCAGACUCCUACGGGAGGCAGCAGUGGGGAAUAUUGCACAAUGGGCGCAAGCCUGAUGCAGCAACGCCGCGUGAGGGAUGACGGCCUUCGGGUUGUAAACCUCUUUUAGUAGGGAAGAAGCGAAAGUGACGGUACCUGCAGAAAAAGCACCGGCUAACUACGUGCCAGCAGCCGCGGUAA
Molecule: ribosomal RNA, 484 nt
Filed under: uncultured bacterium
Lineage: Bacteria
Description: partial 16S ribosomal RNA
Rfam family: Bacterial small subunit ribosomal RNA
Source: RNAcentral